Molecule: ribosomal RNA, 481 nt
Filed under: uncultured bacterium
Lineage: Bacteria
Description: partial 16S ribosomal RNA
Rfam family: Bacterial small subunit ribosomal RNA
Source: RNAcentral
GACGAACGCUGGCGGCGUGCCUAACACAUGCAAGUCGAACGGAGAUACGAUUUCGGUUGUAUCUUAGUGGCGAACGGGUGAGUAACGCGUGAGCAACCUGACUCUUAGAGGGGGAUAACACUGGGCAACGAGUGCUAAUACCGCAUAAGACCACGACAUGGCAUCAUGACGAGGUCAAAGGAGCAAUCCGCUGAGGGAGGGGCUCGCGUCCCAUUAGAUAGAUGGCGGGGUAACGGCCCACCAUGUCAAAGAUGGGUAGCCGAGCUGGGAGGCUGGUCGGCCACACUGGAACUGAGACACGGUCCAGACGCGUACGGGAGGGAGCAGUGGGGAAUAUGGGGAGAUGGGCGCAAGCCUGACCCAGCAACGCCGCGUGAGGGAAGAAGGCUUUCGGGUUGUAAACCUCUGUCCUUGGUGACGAAAAAAAUGACGGUAGCCAAGGAGGAAGCCCUGGCUAACUACGUGCCAGCCGCCGCGGUAA